GCCUCUGUGGCCUAAUGGAUAAGACAUCGGUCUCCUAAAUCGGGGAUUGUGGAUUCGAGUCCCACCAGGGGUA
Molecule: transfer RNA, 73 nt
Filed under: Atta colombica
Lineage: Eukaryota; Metazoa; Arthropoda; Insecta; Hymenoptera; Formicidae
Rfam family: tRNA
About the family: Transfer RNA (tRNA) molecules are approximately 80 nucleotides in length.
Source: Rfam by way of RNAcentral